GACGAACGCUGGCGGCGUGCUUAACACAUGCAAGUCGAACGGAAAGGCCCUGCUUUUGUGGGGUGCUCGAUUGGCGAACGGGUGAGUAACACGUGAGUAACCUGCCCUUGACUUUGGGAUAACUUCAGGAAACUGGGGCUAAUACCGGAUAGGAUCUCCUGCUGCAUGGUGGGCGUUGGAAAGUUUCGGCGGUUGGGGAUGGACUCGCGGCUUAUCAGCUUGUUGGUUGGGUAGUUGCUUACCAAGGCUUUGACGGGUAGCCGGCCUGAGAGGGUGAACGGCCACAAUGGGACUGAGAGACGGAGCAGACGCGUACGGGAGGCAGCAGUGGGGAAUAUUGCACAAUGGGCGGAAGCCUGAUGCAGAAACGCCGGGUGCGGGAUGACGGCCUUCGGGGUGUAAACCGCUUUCGCAUGUGACGAAGCGUGAGUGACGGUAAUGGGUAAAGAAGCACCGGCUAACUACGUG
RNAcentral lists this ribosomal RNA (468 nucleotides) under uncultured bacterium. RNAcentral's name for it is "partial 16S ribosomal RNA". It matches the Rfam family "Bacterial small subunit ribosomal RNA", at positions 28 to 507 of the family's 1533-position model. The record is from RNAcentral.